RNAcentral lists this ribosomal RNA (788 nucleotides) under uncultured archaeon. RNAcentral's name for it is "bacterial SSU rRNA". It matches the Rfam family "Archaeal small subunit ribosomal RNA", at positions 85 to 876 of the family's 1478-position model. The record is from RNAcentral.
ACGGCUCAGUAACACGUAGUCAACAUGCCCAGGGGACGUGGAUAACCUCGGGAAACUGAGGAUAAACCGCGAUAGGUCAUAAUGUCUGGAAUGAUUUAUGGCUAAAAUCUACAUGGCCCCUGGAUUGGACUGCGGCCGAUCAGGCUGUUGGUGAGGUAAUGGCCCACCAAACCUAAAACCGGUACGGGCUCUGAGAGGAGAAGCCCGGAGAUGGGCACUGAGACAAGGGCCCAGGCCCUAUGGGGCGCAGCAGGCGCGAAAACUCUGCAAUAAGCGAAAGCUUGACAGGGUUAUUCUGAGUGAUUUCCGCUAAGGAGAUCUUUUGGCACCUCUAAAAAUGGUGCAGAAUAAGGGGUGGGCAAGCCUGGUGUCAGCCGCCGCGGUAAUACCAGCACCCCGAGUGGUCGGGACGAUUAUUGGGCCUAAAGCAUCCGUAGCCGGUUCUACAAGUCUUCCGUUAAAUCCACCUGCUUAACAGUUGGGCUGCAGAGGAUACUAUAGAGCUAGGAGGCGGGAGAGGCAAGCGGUACUUAGUGGGUAGGGGUAAAAUCCGUUGAUCCACUGAAGACCACCAGUGGCGAAGGCGGCUUGCCAGAACGCGCUCGACGGUGAGGGAUGAAAGCUGGGGGAGCAAACCGGAUUAGAUACCCGGGUAGUCCCAGCUGUAAACGAUGCAGACUCGGUGAUGAAUAGGCUUCGUGCCUAUUCAGUGCCGCAGGGAAGCCGUUAAGUCUGCCGCCUGGGGAGUACGGUCGCAAGACUGAAACUUAAAGGAAUUGGCGGGGGAG